This 1874-nucleotide ribosomal RNA is filed under the name Pseudoplatynematum denticulatum. RNAcentral describes it as "eukaryotic LSU rRNA". It matches the Rfam family "Eukaryotic large subunit ribosomal RNA", at positions 23 to 1874 of the family's 3401-position model. Lineage: Eukaryota; Ciliophora; Oligohymenophorea; Philasterida; Cinetochilidae. The record is from RNAcentral.
ACCCGCUGGAUUUAAGCAUAUCAGUAAGCGGAGGAAAAGAAACUAACAAGGAUUGCAUUAGUAACGGCGAGUGAAAAUGCAAUAGCUCAAAAUGAAAAUCCGUGGCAAAAAGUUACGGAAUUGUAAUCUAGAAAGGUAUUCGGAAGGUAUCGGGCCUCGCAUAAGUUCAUUGGAACAUGACGUCAUAGAGGGAGAAAACCCCGUAGUCGGCGAAGCCACGGCCGUACGAAUGCUUUUGCAGAGUCGGGUUGUUUGGGAUUGCAGCCCUAAAUGGGAGAUAAACUUCUUCUAAAGCUAAAUAUUUAUGGGAGACCGAUAGCGAACAAGUACUGUGAAGGAAAGGUGAAAAGAACUUUGAAAAGAGGGUUAAAAGACUUGAAAUCGUUGAGAAGGAAGCGGUAGAAGAGUAAUUAUUCGAUAUCGAUGUUACCGAGUAAACAACGGUCGCCGGCGUGAGUAGUACUUCAUCGGGCUUUCUAGCCGGCCGAUAACGGGGUUUUGCGGUUUUUUCGAUGUCGAGAGACAAAAUGAGUUUUGAACAUAGGAAUAACCCCUGAAAAGAACCUUUGCUUGCAGAGAAGUUCAGAGGGAAAACUAAGUUGAAAACUGAGGGGCCUGCGGGCGAUUUUGUCAAAAUGGCUUCUACUGACCCGUCUUGAAACACGGACCAAGGAGUCUAUCCAAUAUGCGAGUGUUAGGGUGGAAAAACCCGAACGCGCAAGGAAACUGAGUAAAAGAUACCAAGCCGCAAGGCAGCAGUAUCGGCCAAUCUUGACCCUCUGGGGAUGGACUUGAGCAAGAGCAUAUUUGAUAGGACCCGAAAGAUGGUGAACUACGCUUGAGUAGGGUGAAGCCAGGGGAAACUCUGGUGGAAGCUCGAAGUGAUACUGACGUGCAAAUCGUUCAUCGAACUUGAGUGUAGGGGCGAAAGACUAAUCGAACCAUCUAGUAGCUGGUUCCCUCUGAAGUUUCUCUCAGGAUAGCAAGGACAGUGACGCAGUUUUAUUAGGUAAAGCGAAUGAUUAGAGGAAUCGGAGCUCAAAGAGUUUUGACCUAUUCUCAAACUUUAAAUUGGUAAGAACUUCUAGCUUGCUUAAUUGAGCUAGAGGGUAGAAUGCGUGUCCUUAGUGGGCCAUUUUUGGUAAGCAGAACUGGCGAUGAGGGAUGAACCUAACGCUGAGAUAAGGUGCCAAAAUCUACGCUCAUGAGACCCCAUAAAAGGUGUUGGUUGAUUUAGACAGCAGGACGGUGGCCCUGGAAGUCGGAACCCGCUAAGGAGUGUGUAACAACUCACCUGCCGAAUCAACUAGCCCUGAAAAUGGAUGGCGCUGCAGCGUAGUACCGAUACUCAGCCAUUGUUGCAAAUGUGAGGCGACAAUGAGUAAGAGGGCGAGGGCAUAGUGUGGAAGCCUUUGGCGUGGGCCUGGGUGGAACUGUGUCUUGUGCAGAUCUUGGUAGUAGUAGCAAAUAUUCAAAUGAGAACUUUGAAGACUGAAGUGGGGAAGGGUUCCAUGAGAACAGCAAUUGGUCAUGGGUUACUCGAUCCUAAGACAUAGGGAAGUCCUUGUAAUACAAGAACGUUCGUCGUUUGUUGUCAAAAGGGAAUGAGGUUAACAUUCCUCAAGCUGGAAGCGGAUAAUGCGUGGUAACACAAAACAGCCCAGAGACGCCGGCAUCACCCCCUGGAAGAGUUAUCUUUUCUUUUUAACGCUUCGUGACCCUGAAAUUGGAUUAUCCAGAGCUAGGGUUGUAUAAGCGGCAGAGCUGUUCACUCUAAGAACAGUCAGGUGCGUUGAUGACGGCCCCUGAAAAUUUGGGUGAGGGAUUUAUAUCGCGCCAGAUCGUACCCAUAACCGCAUCAGGUCUCCAAGGUU